AACAAAUAUGUCUUUUAAAAAUAUUUUUACUGACGUUGCUCCUGAGGAUGAUUAAAUGUAUUGAUCGAAACCGGUAGAGCUGAAAAUUAAAAAAAUCCAUCUAUAAAUA
This is a non-coding RNA of Onthophagus taurus, 109 nucleotides long. The record is from RefSeq and is a predicted model, not a curated record. NCBI's taxonomy places the organism in Eukaryota, Metazoa, Arthropoda, Insecta, Coleoptera, Scarabaeidae.